GAUGAACGCUGGCGGCGUGCUUAACACAUGCAAGUCGAACGGAAAGGCCCAAGCUUGCUUGGGUACUCGAGUGGCGAACGGGUGAGUAACACGUGGGUGAUCUGCCCUGCACUUCGGGAUAAGCCUGGGAAACUGGGUCUAAUACCGGAUAGGACCACAUUUUGGAUGGUGUGGUGGAAAGUUUUUCGGUGUGGGAUGAGCUCGCGGCCUAUCAGCUUGUUGGUGGGGUAAUGGCCUACCAAGGCGUCGACGGGUAGCCGGCCUGAGAGGGUGUACGGCCAAAUUGGGACUGAGGAACGGCCCAGACUCGUACGGGGGGCAGCGGUGGGGAAUAUUGCACAAUGGGCGCAAGCCUGAUGCAGCGACGCCGCGUGGGGGAUGCCGGCCUUCGGGUUGUAAACUCCUUUCGCUAGGGACGAAGGGCAAGUGACGGUACCGGGAGAAGGAGCCGCGGCUAACUACGU
This 464-nucleotide ribosomal RNA is filed under the name uncultured bacterium. Its description in RNAcentral is "partial 16S ribosomal RNA". It matches the Rfam family "Bacterial small subunit ribosomal RNA", at positions 28 to 506 of the family's 1533-position model. The record is from RNAcentral.